RNAcentral lists this ribosomal RNA (500 nucleotides) under uncultured bacterium. RNAcentral describes it as "bacterial SSU rRNA". It matches the Rfam family "Bacterial small subunit ribosomal RNA", at positions 28 to 517 of the family's 1533-position model. The record is from RNAcentral.
GAUGAACGCUAGCUACAGGCUUAACACAUGCAAGUCGAGGGGCAGCAUGAACUUAGCUUGCUAAGUUUGAUGGCGACCGGCGCACGGGUGAGUAACACGUAUCCAACCUUCCGUUUACUCAGGGAUAGCCUUUCGAAAGAAAGAUUAAUACCUGAUAGUAUGGUGAGAUUGCAUGAUAGCACCAUUAAAGAUUUAUUGGUAAACGAUGGGGAUGCGUUCCAUUAGGUAGUAGGCGGGGUAACGGCCCACCUAGCCGACGAUGGAUAGGGGUUCUGAGAGGAAGGUCCCCCACAUUGGAACUGAGACACGGUCCAAAACUCCUACGGGAGGCAGCAGUGAGGAAUAUUGGUCAAUGGGCAGAGCCUGAACCAGCCAAGUAGCGUGAAGGAUGAAGGUCCUACGGAUUGUAAACUUCUUUUAUACGGGAAUAAAGUAUCCUACGUGUAGGAUUUUGUAUGUACCGUAUGAAUAAGCAUCGGCUAACUCCGUGCCAGCAGCCG